Molecule: ribosomal RNA, 305 nt
Filed under: uncultured bacterium
Lineage: Bacteria
Description: bacterial SSU rRNA
Rfam family: Bacterial small subunit ribosomal RNA
Source: RNAcentral
AGUUCCCUACGGGGCGCAGCAGUGGGGGAUAUUGGACAAUGGGGGGAACCCUGAUCCAGCGACGCCGCGUGAGUGAAGAAGUAUUUCGGUAUGUAAAGCUCUGUCAGCAGGGAAGAAAGAAAUGACGGUACCUGACCAAGAAGCCCCGGCUAACUACGUGCCAGCAGCGGCGGUAAUACGUAGGGGGCAAGCGUUAUCCGGAAUUAAUGGGGGUAAAGGGAGCGUAGACGGUUAAGUAAGUCUGGAGUGCAAGGACGGGGCCCAACCCGGGGACUGCUAUGGAAACUAUUGAAGUUGAGUGAGGG